UUGAUCCUGGCUCAGAUUGAACGCUGGCGGCAUGCCUUACACAUGCAAGUCGAACGGCAGCGCGGGAGCAAUCCUGGCGGCGAGUGGCGAACGGGUGAGUAAUACAUCGGAACGUGCCCAAUCGUGGGGGAUAACGCAGCGAAAGCUGUGCUAAUACCGCAUACGAUCUACGGAUGAAAGCAGGGGAUCGCAAGACCUUGCGCGAAUGGAGCGGCCGAUGGCAGAUUAGGUAGUUGGUGAGGUAAAGGCUCACCAAGCCUUCGAUCUGUAGCUGGUCUGAGAGGACGACCAGCCACACUGGGACUGAGACACGGCCCAGACUCCUACGGGAGGCAGCAGUGGGGAAUUUUGGACAAUGGGCGAAAGCCUGAUCCAGCCAUGCCGCGUGCAGGAUGAAGGCCUUCGGGUUGUAAACUGCUUUUGUACGGAACGAAACGGCCUUUUCUAAUAAAGAGGGCUAAUGACGGUAC
This 470-nucleotide ribosomal RNA is filed under the name Variovorax sp. IGS119. RNAcentral's name for it is "bacterial SSU rRNA". It matches the Rfam family "Bacterial small subunit ribosomal RNA", at positions 13 to 478 of the family's 1533-position model. Lineage: Bacteria; Pseudomonadati; Pseudomonadota; Betaproteobacteria; Burkholderiales; Comamonadaceae. The record is from RNAcentral.